AUACGGGGGAUUCAAGCGUUAUCCGGACUUAUUGGGUUUAAAGGGUGCGUAGGCUGAUAAAUCAGUCAGCGGUGAAAUUUACGGGCUUAACUUGUAGCUUGCCGUUGAAACUAUUUAUCUAGAGAUAUUUCGGCGUAUGCGGAAUGUAUCAUGUAGCGGUGAAAUGCAUAGAUAUGCUACAGAACACCAAUCGCGAAGGCAGCAUACGAGGCAUCAUCUGACGCUGAUGCACGAAAGCGUGGGGAGCAAACAGGAUUAGAUACCCUGGUAGUCCACGCUGUAAACGAUGAAUACUAGGUGUAGGGGGUAUCGACUCCCUCUGUGCCGCAGUUAACACAAUAAGUAUUCCGCCUGGGGAGUACGGCCGCAAGGUUGAAACUCAAAUGAAUUGACGGGG
Molecule: ribosomal RNA, 397 nt
Filed under: uncultured bacterium
Lineage: Bacteria
Description: partial 16S ribosomal RNA
Rfam family: Bacterial small subunit ribosomal RNA
Source: RNAcentral